UACGUAGGGGGCUAGCGUUGUCCGGAUUUAUUGGGCGUAAAGAGCGUGUAGGCGGCCAGGUAGGUCUGCUGUGAAAACUCGAGGCUUAACCUCGAGAUGUCGGCGGAAACCAUCUGGCUAGAGUCCGGAAGAGGAGAGUGGAAUUCCUGGUGUAGCGGUGAAAUGCGCAGAUAUCGGGAGGAACACCAGUGGCGAAGGCGACUACCUGGCCUGUUCUUGACGCUGAGGCGCGAAAGCUAGGGGAGCAAACGGG
RNAcentral lists this ribosomal RNA (253 nucleotides) under uncultured bacterium. RNAcentral's name for it is "partial 16S ribosomal RNA". It matches the Rfam family "Bacterial small subunit ribosomal RNA", at positions 524 to 776 of the family's 1533-position model. The record is from RNAcentral.